GUGGAGCUGAGGGUGGAAGGGGAGUGAGCUGACGCUCGGAAGGUGUCUUGAGAUUAUCAUCCGCUGAGGGUGGAAGGGGAUGGAGCAGACACUCGGCACGUGUCUUGAGAUUAUCAUCCGCUGAGGGUGGAAGGGGAGUGAGCAGACACUCAGGAGGUGUCUUGAGAUUAUCAUCCGCUGAGGGUGGAAGGGGAGUGAGCAGACACUCGGGAGGUGUCUUGAGGCUCAGGGAGUUAUCAGUUAUAGAAUGUUGUUGAGUUGGAGGAGGUGGCUGGUGGCCCAUCCUGUUUUUUAAAGUUUCAGCUGUGAGG
Molecule: long non-coding RNA, 311 nt
Filed under: Homo sapiens (human)
Lineage: Eukaryota; Metazoa; Chordata; Mammalia; Primates; Hominidae
Description: HSALNT0228819
Source: RNAcentral